Pelobates cultripes (western spadefoot toad) is the source of this 98-nucleotide non-coding RNA. NCBI's taxonomy places the organism in Eukaryota, Metazoa, Chordata, Amphibia, Anura, Pelobatidae. The record is from the annotation of a GenBank genome assembly.
UAUCACCGGCAGAGAAAUACAGUUUUUCCACAUUAUUCAUAUUUUAAAAAUAUGAAUGAUGUGGAAAAACUGUAUUUCUCUGCCGGUGAUAAUUACAU